GUGAUCAUCGAAUCUUUGAACGCACUUGCGCCCCUUGGCUAUUCCGAGGGCAUGCCUGUUUGAGUAUCAUGAACACCUCAACUCUCACGGUUUUCCGUGAUGAGCUUGGACUUUUGGGGGUUUUGCUGGCCCAUGAGGUCUGCUCCUCUCAAACGAAUCAGCUUGCCGGUGUUUGGCGGCAACCGUGGGUGUGAUAACUAUCUACGCUUGUGGUUUUCCACCAGGUAACCUUCAGCAGUUGGAGGUUCAUUGGAGCUCAUAGAUGUCUCUCCUCAGUGAGGACAGCCCUUUGAAUGUUUGAUCUCAAAUCAGGUAGGACUACCCGCUGAACUUAAGCAUAUCAAUAAGCGGAGG
RNAcentral lists this ribosomal RNA (354 nucleotides) under uncultured Tomentella. RNAcentral describes it as "eukaryotic LSU rRNA". The stretch from base 299 to 354 matches the Rfam family "Eukaryotic large subunit ribosomal RNA", at positions 1 to 56 of the family's 3401-position model. The record is from RNAcentral. Lineage: Eukaryota; Fungi; Basidiomycota; Agaricomycetes; Thelephorales; Thelephoraceae.